RNAcentral lists this ribosomal RNA (307 nucleotides) under uncultured bacterium. RNAcentral describes it as "bacterial SSU rRNA". It matches the Rfam family "Bacterial small subunit ribosomal RNA", at positions 201 to 507 of the family's 1533-position model. The record is from RNAcentral.
UUAAAGAUUUAUCGGUGGUGGAUGGGGAUGCGUCUGAUUAGCUUGUUGGCGGGGUAACGGCCCACCAAGGCGACGAUCAGUAGGGGUUCUGAGAGGAAGGCCCCCCACAUUGGAACUGAGACACGGUCCAAACUCCUACGGGAGGCAGCAGUGAGGAAUAUUGGUCAAUGGACGAGAGUCUGAACCAGCCCAAGUAGCGUGCAGGAUGACGGCCCUAUGGGUUGUAAACUGCUUUUAUAAGGGAAUAAAGUGAGUCUCGUGAGACUUUUUGCAUGUACCUUAUGAAUAAGGACCGGCUAAUUCCGUG